AGUGAACGCUGGCGGUAGGCCUAACACAUGCAAGUCGAACGGCAGCACAGGAGAGCUUGCUCUCUGGGUGGCGAGUGGCGGACGGGUGAGGAAUACAUCGGAAUCUGCCCAGUCGUGGGGGAUAACGUAGGGAAACUUACGCUAAUACCGCAUACGACCUUCGGGUGAAAGAGGGGGAUCGCAAGACCUCUCGCGAUUGGAUGAGCCGAUGUCGGAUUAGCUAGUUGGCGGGGUAAUGGCCCACCAAGGCGACGAUCCGUAGCUGGUCUGAGAGGAUGAUCAGCCACACUGGAACUGAGACACGGUCCAGACUCCUACGGGAGGCAGCAGUGGGGAAUAUUGGACAAUGGGCGCAAGCCUGAUCCAGCCAUACCGCGUGGGUGAAGAAGGCCUUCGGGUUGUAAAGCCCUUUUGUUGGGAAAGAAAUCUUUCGGGCUAAUACCCUGGGAGGAUGACGGUACCCAAAGAAUAAGCACCGGCUAACUUCGUG
Molecule: ribosomal RNA, 490 nt
Filed under: uncultured bacterium
Lineage: Bacteria
Description: partial 16S ribosomal RNA
Rfam family: Bacterial small subunit ribosomal RNA
Source: RNAcentral